This is a long non-coding RNA of Nicotiana attenuata, 632 nucleotides long. RefSeq lists it as uncharacterized. The record is from RefSeq and is a predicted model, not a curated record. NCBI's taxonomy places the organism in Eukaryota, Viridiplantae, Streptophyta, Magnoliopsida, Solanales, Solanaceae. The transcript has 2 exons.
GAAAAGUUGAACCGGAGGAAACAGUAGCGAAACGAAGAGAGGAACAUAGGAGAAAACAGUUGGAUUUGUUCUCUACUAGUGUUGGUCUGUGGAGAGUUCGGAAGCGAGGUUAUCGUCGAGUUUGUUGUCGAGGUUCUCCGGUCAAAAUCGCGCCUGAUCUGCGUCGAUUUGGUCGUCGAUUUGUCGAGGUUGUCCGCUCGAGGUCGUAGUCGGUGAGUCAAGCUUAACUAAGGUCUGUUUUCUUUUAGUUCUCAAAUUUGGAUCUUCAUUUUGCACUUCAUCUUGUACUGAUUUAUGUCACGCUUGAGUAAAUGUGAAUGUAUUGAUAUGGUCUUGUAUAUUCAAAUAGCUCUUUGGUUUUGGAAACUCUGGAUUCAAAUUUUGCAUAUUCUGCCUAUUUGCUUGUUAAUUGAUUCUUAAACAACAAUAAAUGUAGAAGCCGAAACUUGGAGAGGGACUUCUCUAUUUUAAAUCUCAAUUGAAGGCAUCUUUGUUGGAUGAAUUUGGAAAUAUGUUUCGUUCAGUUGGUUCUCUUCCGUAUGAAGGUUGUACUGUGAAUUUCCAUUUUGCUAUAUGUUCCUUAUAUUGACGGCUCUUAUCCUAUUUUGAUCUACCAUUUUCAUUUUUGAUUA